GACGGACGCUGGCGGCGUGCUUAACACAUGCAAGUCGAACGGAAAGGCCCUGCUUUUGUGGGGUGCUCGAGUGGCGAACGGGUGAGUAACACGUGAGUAACCUGCCCUUGACUUUGGGAUAACUUCAGGAAACUGGGGCUAAUACCGGAUAGGAGCUCCUGCUGCAUGGUGGGGGUUGGAAAGUUUCGGCGGUUGGGGAUGGACUCGCGGCUUAUCAGCUUGUUGGUGGGGUAGUGGCUUACCAAGGCUUUGACGGGUAGCCGGCCUGAGAGGGUGACCGGCCACAUUGGGACUGAGAUACGGCCCAGACUCCUACGGGAGGCAGCAGUGGGGAAUAUUGCACAAUGGGCGGAAGCCUGAUGCAGCAACGCCGCGUGCGGGAUGACGGCCUUCGGGUUGUAAACCGCUUUCGCCUGUGACGAAGCGUGAGUGACGGUAAUGGGUAAAGAAGCACCGGCUAACUACGU
RNAcentral lists this ribosomal RNA (467 nucleotides) under uncultured bacterium. RNAcentral describes it as "partial 16S ribosomal RNA". It matches the Rfam family "Bacterial small subunit ribosomal RNA", at positions 28 to 506 of the family's 1533-position model. The record is from RNAcentral.